CUUCCCCCCACCCACUUUUCUCAGAGCGGACCGACCUACCUAUUCCUUCUCAGCCCGUCUCCGCUUCCCCCCCACCCACUUUCCUUGGUGCGGACGGAGCCGAGGGGGCGGGGGCUCCCUCCCGGGAGCGUUUCUAGAGCUCGGAGGCAGCUAGUAGGGGUUUCAUUGUCCACAUGUUUAAAGUCUAACAGAGAAAAACAUCACUGGAUGUGAAGUUGGAGGACAGAUCCAAGUCUACAUCUACAUCCUCAUGUUGGUGACCUUGGGGCACCACUUUCAGAUAAAAACAUAGACCUGAAUGGCAUCAUCCAGUAUCCAAGGAAACCAUUACCAACAAGCAUGGGCCCUCAACUGAGAUCAAGAGGACAUGACAAGGCUUGAUAACUUCUGCCUUUAAAUGGUGGUUGCCAAUGCCUUUAAACUGAAGUCUUGAAGUCUUAGUCACCAGAAUCAAGCCAAGGCCAGCUGAAGGUGUUCAGUGCUUCUCAAAUUAUACCAAGGAAAAGUUUUUCUGCUCAGUCAGAGGAAUAAAGAGGUCUCUAAGUCCACUGCUGACAGGAAAAUCUUCAGUGGUUCCAGAGACAAGCUGCUGGAAAUCCUGCACAUUUAUCUUCUAGAAGGAAGUAAACUGAUUAGGAUAGUGGUCCCUUUAGAAAGAACCUCCCCUAAAACUUUAAAGGACUCCAAAUUAAGCCAUGUCCAUAUCUGGGACCCUAAAGUGGCUCAUAAAAGUUAGGGACUGCCUGCUUAAUGUUAGGUGAUUGCAAAAGCUUUAAGAUUCAAAGGGGGGAGUGAAGGUGGGGAAGGUGAUGGUGAAUAAAUUGUGAGAGCCUCCCAAAUAACAGGAUGUCUCUUUAAUUCCAAGCCUCAUGUUCUAUCUCAUAUUGUAUCUUUCAAUUAAAAAAAAAAAGGAAA
Molecule: long non-coding RNA, 915 nt
Organism: Nyctereutes procyonoides (raccoon dog)
Lineage: Eukaryota; Metazoa; Chordata; Mammalia; Carnivora; Canidae
Exons: 6
Source: RefSeq, a predicted model, not a curated record